This 478-nucleotide long non-coding RNA is filed under the name Junco hyemalis (dark-eyed junco). RNAcentral describes it as "lncRNA (ENSJHYG00000015741.1)". Lineage: Eukaryota; Metazoa; Chordata; Aves; Passeriformes; Passerellidae. The record is from RNAcentral.
GCAUGAGGGCCAGCGGGCUGCAGCAGCGCCUGCUUCACUGGGGAGGCAGCAGAGCACCAGGUCGUCGCGAUGGCGAGCUGGUUUUUCGGGAACGGUGAAGCAGGGAAGCAGGACCACAGGGAGGAAAAGGCCAGAAGGAGGGAGAAGGGCUGAGCAGACCCUACAGGGAAACCCCCGUCCCUCCAAGGUAGCUUUGGAUUGCUGUGAAGGCAGCUCUCAGAGGGAAGCUAUGGACAAUCUGAUCAGGAAGAUGGAUGAAGAGAAAACCCUGAAAGUGGAAACUUCUGGAGGCUGUGAAAGCAUCCUUCCCUGGACUCCAGCUUCUGCCGGACAACUUGGUGGCAAGAGCAGACGUCUCUGAUGGUAAAGGUAUGAGUAAACUAAACUUCCAUUGGUGACUUUACUCUAUGGUAGUGACUGCCUUUGAAAACAAAUACGUAAAACUUCCCCUAAGCUGGAGAUGUCUUGAUGUUAAAUA